UCUUUCCAUUAUCUAGCUACCUGUCUUCUACACAACCCCAAACUCUAGAGAGAUAUGGACACAGAGACAGAGAGAGAGAGAGAUAGAGGAGUGCGAUGGUGAAGGUGAUGUGGUUUGAACCAUCGCACGAACACCUGCCGCUGGCGAACACCACCACCGGAGUUCCCUGCCGCCGCACGAACACCAUCGGAGUUUCCUGCUGCUGCCGCACGAACACCACCACUAGAGUUCCCUGUCGCCGCACGAACACCACCAGUGUUCCCUGCCACCGCACGAACACCACCGGAGUUCCCUGCAGCCGCACGAACACCAUCGGAAUUCCUAGCCAUUCACCGGAGCACAUCCAACGUUCACCUAGAUUUCCGGCAGUUUGCAAGCGUUCUACGUUUGUCUUUAUUCUCCAGUUUAGGUGAUAGCUUUUAUGUUCGUCUGCUUCAAUCUGCUUUUGCUAAAUGACAACUGUAUAUACAGAAAUUUUGGAGCUUUAGCUGCACAAAGAUCAUCAAAUCUCCGGUUUUCAUACAAGUCUGCAUCCAGAAGAGUUCGCAUGGAAAACAAUCACCACAGCGAUGCAAGAGGUGCUCUUAUCGUUCUAGAAGGUUUGGAUCGAAGUGGGAAGACCUCACAGUCUGGUAGGCUUGUCGCAUACUUAAAUGGUCUUGGGCAUCCAGUAGAAUCAGAAUCAUGGCGGUUUCCAGAUAGAGAUACUGCUGUCGGGAAAAUGAUUUCAGCGUAUCUUUCCAAUGAAUCUCAGCUCGAUGAUCACAUAAUUCAUCUUCUUUUUAGUGCAAAUCGUUGGGAGAAAAGAUCAUUGAUGGAGGCUAAGCUACAUUGAUGGAGGCUAAGCUAAAAAGUGGUACUCCUUUGAUUGUUGAUCGAUAUUCUUAUUCAGGGGUUGCCUAUUCAUCUGCCAAAGGUUUAGAUAUUGAAUGGUGUAAGUGAUGAGGCAAUCGAUAUCAAAUAUGACGUAACAAGAGUGUAAACCAUGAGGUGAGUUGAUUAAAGGACAGUUGAGACCUAGAAAGAAGAACAUUUCAGGUGAGUCGUUUAUCUUAAUAGCAUUUCUUUAUCUUACUCUUCUAGCAGACUUUAUUUUUUAUGUGUUAAUGUGUUUUGUUGAAUUUUGUGACCUUGGAAUGGCAUGUAAUAGUAGGUAAUUAAAGUUAAGUGUUAGAAAUAUCAAAUGGUUGGUAAAACCGAGGUAAAAAGUAGGUCGAUUUGUGGGUGUAAAUGGAAUGAAUUUUCCCAAUCCCUAAAGUAAAAGACGAAGACAGCGAGUGACGUGUUUCUGAGGAGGUAAACCUAGGAUCCAGCUGGAUGCACCGGAAAUUGUUGAUACACUUUUGCUCUUAGUAUAGUUUGUAAUGCCAUUAUUAGUAUCAGUAAUGAUGAUGUUGUAAUAGACCUGGAGAUUAGCAAAAUAGUUGAUGAAACUUAAAUUUGAUUGCAUACCAGAAGUUAAUGAAUUAAAUUUAGGUUGCAGCCCAAAAUCUAUUAGCUCACUAACUAAUUUGCACCCCAAACAAAUAGCAAAAUAGCCGCCCAGUAAUAACUUGCAGAGUUGCAGCGCAUAGGUUAGCAAAAUACAAGCCCAUUUAUAAUUUGAAGAGUCGCAGCCCAAAAAUUAGCAAAAAUAGCAGCCCAGUUUUCUUCAAAUGCCUUAUAAGUUAUUUGCAUUGUAGUUGAAUGACGUGAUGCCGCUAAAGUUUUGAAAAACAACAUGGUUAAUAAACAAUAGGUUGAUUGGUGGUGGUGCAGUCACCAUGCGUGACUUGCUUGAGUUGUUCCGCCCAAGGUAAUACACUAUCUUGAGAACGUAAGUCUAAAAUUAUUGCUCUUUUUUUUGCUAUUAUUAAAGGAAUCCACUCGCUAUUAGUUUCAAUGUGAAUUAUAAAAUUGCUGGUAACUUGCUUCUUCUUUAUAAACUUUUAGUUAUGUCUGUCUAUGUGUUUGAUGAUAUUCACCCAAGUGUCAAAUAGGCUGUGAUGAGUUGAGUGAAAAAUGUCUCUUGAUGCGGCAAAAUCCGAAGACAGCAGGUGCGAGUUUCUCCACUUGCAACUUCUAUUGCAACCAUGGUCGUCUAAUAGACAAAUUUGCACCAAAAAGGUCGGUCAGGUCAAUAUCUGGCGGCAUAGCUACAAGCCGUAUGUCCUUGCGAUUUUUGUUUCAGUAUUCAUCAGUUUGAGUUUAUCGUGCAGGUACAUUACCUAAUUUCACGGGAAACUUAGCUUCAAUGGAUCAUUAGACACGUUACGUACAAUCUAGCGGUAAUUGCUACCGGACCCCGCCGCAACGCGGCGGGACUGUUUUCUAGUUAUUUACUAAAUUCAACCCUUUGGAAGUUUAGAGCUUUGCUAUUUUUUAAAUCCUUCAUUCAUGCACAUCUUUGUAUCAACGCAACUAAGGACUACCCUUCAACACAAUUUACACACACAAUUCAUAAGCACUAUUGUAAGAUACUUAUUGCAAGCAAGCAAUUCCACCAUAGCAUUGCCAUUUGAGAAUAACACAAGUACAAUUGUAAAUAAUCAAAAAAAAAAAAAAAAAAAAAAA
RNA transcript from Helianthus annuus (common sunflower), 2553 nucleotides. It is a transcript of the gene named thymidylate kinase-like, with no coding region annotated. The record is from RefSeq and is a predicted model, not a curated record. Lineage: Eukaryota; Viridiplantae; Streptophyta; Magnoliopsida; Asterales; Asteraceae. The transcript is spliced from 7 exons.